CCCCGCGCCGCCGCCGCCGCUCUCGCAGCUGGACCACCGCUGCCGGAGCCGGACAAUGCCCCCGGCCCGCCUCGCGCUGCCGCCACCAAUAGCCGCUCGUGUUGUUUAUUUGAACCUUGGCGGUGGACCAAUCGAACGCUUCCUUCUAGCCAGAACUCCGCCCUCUCGGCACCGCCUCCCCAACGGCUGUUUGUUUUUGCACACGGCACUUGGAGGCGGGACCUCCAACCCCAACAUUGACGCGCUCUCCGCCUCUCUCCUGCCGCGGAGUCUGAUGAACAGAAGAACGAACCAAUGGGAGAGAAGAAAAGCCAAUGAAAACAUUGCCGGCCGCACCAGAGGCGGGAGUCUGGGAACAACAGUAGGAUGAGCCAACGGUUAACCUCCAUCAGAAACAGUAACCUGGGAGAAGUGAGGCUUUCCGGAAAAAAUAAUUUGAAUUCUAGACGAGGAAGGAACGAGCUUCUAAAUGACUUUGGGAAACCAAGAUGAAGAUAAGAAAAAGAGUGAGAAGGGGGGCCAAUGAAAUCGGAAUAAAUGCAAUGAUGUGCUCAGAUAAUA
Myodes glareolus (Bank vole) is the source of this 561-nucleotide non-coding RNA. The record is from RefSeq and is a predicted model, not a curated record. Lineage: Eukaryota; Metazoa; Chordata; Mammalia; Rodentia; Cricetidae.